RNAcentral lists this ribosomal RNA (171 nucleotides) under Enterococcus faecium. RNAcentral describes it as "partial 23S ribosomal RNA". It matches the Rfam family "Bacterial large subunit ribosomal RNA", at positions 1 to 171 of the family's 2925-position model. Lineage: Bacteria; Bacillati; Bacillota; Bacilli; Lactobacillales; Enterococcaceae. The record is from RNAcentral.
GGUUAAGUGAAUAAGGGCGCACGGUGGAUGCCUUGGCACUAGGAGCCGAUGAAGGACGGGACUAACACCGAUAUGCUUUGGGGAGCUGUACGUAAGCUAUGAUCCAGAGAUUUCCGAAUGGGGGAACCCAGCAUCUUUAAUAGGAUGUUACGAUUGUGUGAAUACAUAGCA